CGCUGGCGGCGUGCUUAAUACAUGCAAGUCGAACGGAGGGUUAGCAAUAACUUCUUAGUGGCGAACGGGUGAGUAACGCGUGGGUGACCUGCCCCGAAGACAGGGAUAACAGUUCGAAAGGACUGCUAAUACCCGAUGAAGUUGUGGUGACUAGGAAGCCACAAACAAAAGGAGCGAUCCGCUUUGGGAGGGGCCUGCCGACCCAUCAGCUAGUUGGUAAGGUAAAGGCUUACCAAGGCGAAGACGGGUAGGGGACCUGAGAGGGUGAUCCCCCACACUGGCACUGAAACACGGGCCAGACACCUACGGGUGGCAGCAGUAGGGAAUAUUGCACAAUGGGCGAAAGCCUGAUGCAGCAACGCCGCGUGCGCGAAGAAGGCCUUCGGGUUGUAAAGCGCUUUUCUGGGAGAUGAGGAAGGACAGUAUCCCAGGAAUAAGGCUCGGCUAACUACGUG
RNAcentral lists this ribosomal RNA (455 nucleotides) under uncultured bacterium. Its description in RNAcentral is "bacterial SSU rRNA". It matches the Rfam family "Bacterial small subunit ribosomal RNA", at positions 34 to 507 of the family's 1533-position model. The record is from RNAcentral.